Molecule: transfer RNA, 70 nt
Filed under: Marmota monax (woodchuck)
Lineage: Eukaryota; Metazoa; Chordata; Mammalia; Rodentia; Sciuridae
Description: tRNA.Ala
Source: RNAcentral
GGAUAUAGCUCAGUUGGUAAAGUGUUUGCCUUGCAUGCACAAGGCUCUGGGUUCAAUUUCCAACAUCACA